This 497-nucleotide ribosomal RNA is filed under the name uncultured bacterium. Its description in RNAcentral is "partial 16S ribosomal RNA". It matches the Rfam family "Bacterial small subunit ribosomal RNA", at positions 28 to 507 of the family's 1533-position model. The record is from RNAcentral.
GAUGAACGCUGGCGGCGUGCCUAAUACAUGCAAGUCGAACGAACGGACGAGAAGCUUGCUUUUCUGAUGUUAGCGGCGGACGGGUGAGUAACACGUGGAUAACCUACCUAUAAGACUGGGAUAACUUCGGGAAACCGGAUCUAAUACCGGAUAAUAUUUUGAACCGCAUGGUUCAAAAGUGAAAGACGGUCUUGCUGUCACUUAUAGAUGGAUCCGCGCUGCUUUAGCUAGUUGGUAAGGUAACGGCUUAGCAAGGCAACGAUGCAUAGACGACCUGAGAGGGUGAUAGGCCACACUGGAACGGAGACACGGUCAAGAGUCCUAAGGGAGGCAGCAGUAGGGAAUGUUACGCAGUGGGCGAGAGCAUGACGGAGCGAGGCGGAGUGAGUGAUGAAGAUCUUCGGAGCGGAAAACUCUGUUAUUAGGGAAGAACAUAUGUGUAAGUAAAUGUGCAGAUCUUGACGGUACCUAAUAAGAAAGCAACGGCUAACUACGUG